Molecule: long non-coding RNA, 327 nt
Organism: Adelges cooleyi (spruce gall adelgid)
Lineage: Eukaryota; Metazoa; Arthropoda; Insecta; Hemiptera; Adelgidae
Exons: 3
Source: RefSeq, a predicted model, not a curated record
GAGCUAUACAUGAAGGAUUUUAAAAACACUUUGUAUUUGAUUUUCUCAAAUCAAGAACUUGUUUUGAAAGACUUCCUUGAAAAAAAGAUGGCAGUAAUUAAGGUUGUAAAAAAUGCUUGGACUACCGUUUGUAAUAUUUUGCAUGUUGGUGAUAAACAUCAUUUACGUCAGUCUGAAUUGUUAGAUUUUAUGGGUCGAGCCGACGAUUCACAUUUACAUUUUUUAAAGGAUUAUUGGUCAUUGAAUAUAGAGUCACUAAAUGAACAAGACAACAUGGGUUUUAAAAGAUUUGCGGACCUUGUGAUUUUUAUUUGCGCAAAAAAAAAU